UGGGGAAUAUUGGACAAUGGGCGCAAGCCUGAUCCAGCAAUGCCGCGUGUGUGAAGAAGGCCUUCGGGUUGUAAAGCACUUUUAUCAGGAGCGAAACGCUGUCGGCUAAUACCCGGCGGAACUGACGGUACCUGAGGAAUAAGCACCGGCUAACUUCGUGCCAGCAGCCGCGGUAAUACAAGGGUGCAAGCGUUAAUCGGAAUUACUGGGCGUAAAGCGUGCGUAGGCGGUUUCUUAAGUCUGCUGUGAAAUCCCCGGGCUCAACCUGGGAAUGGCAGUGGAUACUGGGAGGCUAGAGUGUGUCAGAGGGUGGUGGAAUUCCCGGUGUAGCGGUGAAAUGCGUAGAGAUCGGGAGGAACAUCAGUGGCGAAGGCGGCCACCUGGGGACAACACUGACGCUGAGGCACGAAAGCGUGGGGAGCAAACAGGAUUAGAUACCCUGGUAGUCCACGCCCUAAACGAUGCGAACUGGAUGUUGGUCUCAACUCGGAGAUCAGUGUCGAAGCUAACGCGUUAAGUUCGCCGCCUGGGGAGUACGGUCGCAAGACUGAAACUCAAAGGAAUUGAC
Molecule: ribosomal RNA, 568 nt
Filed under: uncultured bacterium
Lineage: Bacteria
Description: partial 16S ribosomal RNA
Rfam family: Bacterial small subunit ribosomal RNA
Source: RNAcentral